UGUCCACCGGCCAGCUGUACGAGCAAAUGCCGAAUAUACAGUAGCCUUUUUACGAGGAAUCCGAGGACUUGCUUCUCCGUUGUACGAAAGUUUAUGACCGUUGUUUAGGGUCAAGUUUAUGACCGUUGUAUAGGCCUAAACGCGCUGCCCCAAUUUCUUCCUUCGUGAUCUCCUCUCCCGAUAUCCGAUCUCCGAGCUCCUCAUGCGACCUUUCACUAAGCUUCUCUCCCCUCUCCCCUUCCCCGGUUACCCCCGAUCUGUCGGCAGGCCUCUCCCCUCUCCCCUUACCCCCGAUCUGUCGGCGGGCAGCCGAGGCGCGAUGCCGUUCCGGCGAUUGGGUCACGCCUAGGCCGCGGCCUCGCAGCGAGGUCGCGGAGGCCGGGCGCGACCUCAGCCGCGUGAUAUUUCAAGUUGCGUUCCUCUGAGUCAGGGUUUCAAGAAUUUCAGCAAGACAGCUAGAGACCUUUUGCUCAAAAUGCAGAAAAUCGAUGGAGAUUACUAUCUGAAACUUUACACGAGAUGUUCAUUGUCAAUGCUGGCACUGGCUUUAGGCUCCUUUGGAACACCGUUAAAGGUUUUCUUGAGCCAAAAACAACUGCAAAGAUACAUCAACUUCCAGAUUUCUUGGGUUGGUUGUGCACUUGCUCCAAUGAAGACGGAUGUUUGAAAUCUAACCAAGGGCCAUGGAAAUGGAAUAAUCCCAACAUUAUGGAGCAAUCACUAUUUUGUCCUGGAAGCAGCAUUGCUAAGGCAUACUAGACAAAUGUCAGAAGGAGGUGAAGCCUUUGUAGAGUCAUAUCUUUUGAAGGCAAGCUUUAUAUCUAGCCUUUAUUUUGUUCCUCAUUUUUCUAGAUACAUUGUGUAAUGCCCUUUAUUGAAAAUUUUUUCAUUCUUUCUUCUUCAUCUUAAGGGAAGAAGCAGUGGUAUUAUACUUGAUGCAUUGUUCAUCUGCUUUAGUUUCUAAGUAGUUUAAUAGUUAAUGAUACGGCAUGUUGCGAGUGAUCCUGAAAGUAAGGUGAGCUCGAUAGUCAAAAUGAUAUGACAAUCAAAGUCAAUGUGAGGUGACAGUCAACAUCAAUAAGACAGUCAGGUGUGUAUCAUCAGGCAGGUCACUCACCUUCGAAGCUUAGCUCCUCGUUCUUCAAGUACAAGUCUCUCAGUAUACAGUCGAUCGACAUCAGAGCCGGUCAACCCCAGAGCUAGUUAGUCCCAGAGCCGGUUGACUCGGACUUAACAGACUCAGCUCCCCACUCUUCAAAAUGCAAGUCUCUUAGCAUACUGUCAGUCGGCCCCAGAGCCGGUCGGACUUGAGGGACUUAGCUCCCCACUCUAAGUGCAAGUCUCUUAGCAUAUAACCGGUCGGCCCAGAGCCGGUCGGACUUAAGGGACUUAACUCCUCACUCUUCAAGUGCAAGGCAACUCUCAACAUAUAGCCAGUCGACCCAAGAGCCGGUUGGAUUUAUGGGGCUCAGCUCCCUAUUUCUCAGCACCAAGGCACCUAACAUAUAGUCGGUUGGCCUAACAGCUGGUCGGACUUACAGGGCUCAACUCCCCACUUCACAGCGUCGAGGCACUUAGCAUACGACCGGUUGACCAUAGUGCCGUUCGAACCUUUGGAGCGUUGUUCGAACCUUUGUGGCUCAGUUCCUCACUCCUUAUGUACAAGAGUCUAGCAUACAGUCGGUCGGCUACUGGGUCGGUCGGAUUUCCUCCGUGAGACAACAUUAUUAGAGAAUCGCAAUAACCUGUCAGAGAAUAACGACUACCUAUCAGGGAAUAUUCCGACUCCGACAUAUACAUACAACGGAACCUUCCUCUAAGGGUGGGCAUACAUCCUCCAUUACUCGACAUAUGUUGACACCCGACAUUCUUUGACGCCUCAUUAUUGCGAAGCUUAUGAGGGUUAGUAUAAAAAGGGGCUCUCUCCGUUGGCCAGGUAUGCUCACACAUACACAUUUUACUACAGGCGCAUUCAUGACAUGCAUCUACUACUGUUCAUCUUCUUUUCCGUUCUUUCAGUCAAUUCUGACUUGAGCGUCGGAGUGUCUGUGCUAGGGACCCCUCCCCAAUUCUCGCUCUAACGUUUCCAUUGGCUCUCUUUGUGGUAUGGGCAGAAAGGAUCAUUUGGUGUCAUCCCCAUCCAGCUCAGAGCCUUCUCACAGUCAGCAGCAUAGCCAUCUACCCAGUCUGCUAUCUUCACCAAUUUCAAACAGGAUCAAAUUUGGCGCCAUGUGUGGGAAUCUUCGCCUAAAUCUGAAAUGCGGAGAUGGAGGAGAUUGGACGAUUCACCACAAUUACUUUGUCACAAUAAGAUUUGGACUUAAUAACUACCUAAGCACAGAAGUUAGUGCAACAACAAUAAGCAACAAUUGGUGGUCCUCUACCGCACGACCUAGCUAUAUCAAUAAUGGGCCCCCACACCGAGCGAGGGACCCGAGUGGAAUGACCAACUGGGUUCUCGCCAAUUCCUCUUACGGCUGGCUUCAUGCAAACGUUGGCGCAACCAAUCAGCUUGUCGCCUGUGCUACCCUCCCCGGUUGCGUACCAUCGGGCAUUGCUCCGCAUGCCAUUUAACGAUGUGGGCUGAGCGGAAAGACCCCAAGAGUCAUCUUUUGGACAUGCACUCGCUAGGGACCCGUGAAAGGGAAAGGCUUAGGUCCCUAGUGGUUCUCCCGCAUAGACACGCAUGUCGUUCUUCCCAGAAAUAUUGGAGGACAAAUUGCCAAAUCAUUUUUGACCCUUGACGAUCAGAGAAUAUGGAGGAGCAACCGACCAAGAAGAUCAUCUCCUUAAAUUUGAAAACGCUGCCUUCCUUCACCGAUACACAGAUGACGUUAAGUGCUCGAGUGUUCCUUACCUCUUUCUCUGGCUCAGCAUAAAGAUGGUCCAACUGAUUUCCUGCCUAGUUCAUCUGUUGCUUUAAGGAUUUCCGCAAAGUAUUCCUCCACCACUUUGCCAGUAGUCGAUGCUACCAUAAGACCAUGUUGAGUCUCUUUCCCUCAAACAGGGGCCUAAAGAGGCGUUGAGGGUAUAUACAUCAAAAGAUUCAACCAGGUGGCCAUGGAUAUCCCCUUCCAUCUUGAAAUCCUAGUGAGUGUCUUCUCUCAAGGGCUCACAGAUGAGGAUUUCUUCCGGUUCCUGAUCAAGAAGUCACCCAAGGACUUCGACCACUUACUUGGAAGGGUGAUCAAGUACAUUAAUGUGGAGGAGGAUCAAUUCGCUCUGAAGGAGGUUGCUGCACCCGCUCUUAUAUCCCAGAGCGUCGAGCCCCACCCCCGCC
Molecule: long non-coding RNA, 3280 nt
Organism: Zingiber officinale
Lineage: Eukaryota; Viridiplantae; Streptophyta; Magnoliopsida; Zingiberales; Zingiberaceae
Exons: 4
Source: RefSeq, a predicted model, not a curated record